UUCUUCGGGUGACGUCGAGUGUGAACACAAGUGUCUUCGAAGUUUCCCGGUGUUUUAAUUAAUAUUAUUUGUUUAAAUUGCUGUUGACUUGCGCUACUGAUUCGUGUUGGUGUUGGUAUAUAUCUGUUGUGCCGUGAGUGUAAAUAUAUUGUGUUUGUUAUAUUAUUAAAAGGUUAGUAAUUCAACAGUUGAUUACUUUGUAAAAUAAUAAUAAUUAAAAUUGAUGUGACCUUGUGCAAUCACGAAGCCCACCCAACAAAAAAGAAUCCAAACUUCACCAAAAGACAUCAGCUGAGCAUAAUCAAAACCACAGACUAUAAAACUUGACUUUGGCGAAAUCAAAAAGGACCGCCAUUACAAAAGAAAAUAUAUAUGUCUCCAUAAAAUAAAAUGUUCAUUGUUUUACUUUAAUUAUCGUUUAUUUUAAAAUUCACAACAGUUACUAGUAUAGGCUUUGCUUUUUACCCCGAAAUAUCCUAAAUCCUGGUAUUUUUUAAAUUGUCUUUAUCAUCCAAAAUAUCAGCUAUUUUUCCCUAAAAAAGGGAGAAUUCCCUAAAAGUGGAAGCACUGCUUCAAAGUACGCUACAUUUUUUAUUGAGUCAGAACUCAUAUCUGCCAUCUAGUGAGUUUAUUAGAUCAUUAAUGCCUAAAAGUUACAAAAAUGACGUCGCCACAGGAGUAAGAUGACGCUAGUUGUAUGUUAUUUUCCUUUGUAUGGGAGUUGCACCCCCCUGACUAGAAG
Molecule: long non-coding RNA, 742 nt
Organism: Bombyx mori (domestic silkworm)
Lineage: Eukaryota; Metazoa; Arthropoda; Insecta; Lepidoptera; Bombycidae
Exons: 2
Source: RefSeq, a predicted model, not a curated record